Molecule: long non-coding RNA, 687 nt
Organism: Pantherophis guttatus
Lineage: Eukaryota; Metazoa; Chordata; Lepidosauria; Squamata; Colubridae
Source: RefSeq, a predicted model, not a curated record
GGGACCAGACGAAAUGAAAGAAAAGAAUCUUAAAGAGUCCAUAUUAGUUUGAUAUGAUACCUCUGGUGUCUUCCCAAGGUCACUGCUAGCUGUGAAAAGACAAGAGAAGUCAACUGAAUCAGCCUAUAACCUUAAGCUGCAGUGGAACAGGCUCUCAAGAGCUUUCAUUGGAAUAAGUCUCCAAGCAUUACAGCAUUAAUCUUCGGAAGCUUGCUUCAGAUAACUUAAUGGAGGGCAUAAGAAGAUUUCUUUGCUACUGAUAAAGAAAACACCAGACAGCAACAUACAUUAGCUGCUAUUCUCAGUAGUAUGGUUUUGGAAGUAUAUACAGAAAUAAGACAUCUUUGGAGUCGAAAUGUUCAAAUACAGUCCAGAAUCCCAUGCUAUUAGCCAUGCUUGAAUAUGAUAAAAAUUACAGUCCAAGACAUUUGGAGGCACCAGUUUGCCCAUCCUGUUCAAGAGCAAAAAUCUUCAACAUACAACCACAGCUGGGACCAGAAUUUCCAUUGCCAAGCAAGGCGGUCAUUAAAAUAAGAAACCAGCAACGAGAAUUCAAAGAAGAGCCACAGAAACAGGGACUAGACUAAAGACUAGAAAAUAGGCCAAGUGACACAUGUCCAUGAACUGCAAAGGCAAGUGCAGGGAACAAUUUGUUUUUUUUUAAAAAUUAAAAGAUCAGUCAAACUU